Molecule: ribosomal RNA, 717 nt
Filed under: uncultured Actinomycetales bacterium
Lineage: Bacteria; Bacillati; Actinomycetota; Actinomycetes; Actinomycetales
Description: bacterial SSU rRNA
Rfam family: Bacterial small subunit ribosomal RNA
Source: RNAcentral
GACGAACGCUGGCGGCGUGCUUAACACAUGCAAGUCGAACGGAAAGGCCCUGCUUGCAGGGUACUCGAGUGGCGAACGGGUGAGUAACACGUGGGUGAUCUGCCCUGCACUUCGGGAUAAGCUUGGGAAACUGGGUCUAAUACCGGAUAGGAGCCAUCUUUAGUGUGGUGGUUGGAAAGUUUUUUCGGUGUAGGAUGAGCUCGCGGCCUAUCAGCUUGUUGGUGGGGUAAUGGCCUACCAAGGCGGCGACGGGUAGCCGGCCUGAGAGGGUGUACGGCCACAUUGGGACUGAGAUACGGCCCAGACUCCUACGGGAGGCAGCAGUGGGGAAUAUUGCACAAUGGGCGCAAGCCUGAUGCAGCGACGCCGCGUGGGGGAUGAAGGCCUUCGGGUUGUAAACUCCUUUCGCUAGGGACGAAGCUUUGUGUGACGGUACCUAGAUAAGAAGCACCGGCUAACUACGUGCCAGCAGCCGCGGUAAUACGUAGGGUGCGAGCGUUGUCCGGAAUUACUGGGCGUAAAGAGCUCGUAGGUGGUUUGUCGCGUCGUCUGUGAAAUUCUGGGGCUUAACUCCGGGCGUGCAGGCGAUACGGGCAUAACUUGAGUGCUGUAGGGGUAACUGGAAUUCCUGGUGUAGCGGUGAAAUGCGCAGAUAUCAGGAGGACACCGAUGGCGAAGGCAGGUUACUGGGCAGUUACUGACGCUGAGGAGCGAAAG